Molecule: long non-coding RNA, 2605 nt
Organism: Felis catus (domestic cat)
Lineage: Eukaryota; Metazoa; Chordata; Mammalia; Carnivora; Felidae
Exons: 3
Source: RefSeq, a predicted model, not a curated record
CAUUUAAAGUUUUUUGGGGGUAAAAGUCACAUCCUCUCUAUCCUUUGUUCAAAGGACACACCAGCGCUGGGCACACAACAUACACAACAAAAAUGAUCCUUAGCGAGCGUCUAAUCCAGUAACUUACAAACCAUUCCCGAGCUGAAUUUUUUUGAAAAUACAUAUCCUGGGCCCUAUUUCUUAUGAUUCUGAUGAUAAAGAUCUGGGCUGGGACCCAAAAAUAUAGUUGAAAGCCUUCUGAUGAGUAUCUAGAUUUGGAAACUACCGAUAGAGCUUACUUUUCUAACCUUAAAAAUACAGAAAUAGGUCCAGAGGCAGGAAUAAACUUAGGUAGCAAAGCCUGAGCAGAGCUGAAACUGAAACCUCAUUCUACUGUUUCUCCCACAGGCUCAUCUUCUGAAACACCUUUCUUCAAAGAUAGCUCAACAUAGCUGGGUAGGGACUCUCACUUAUUUCCUGUACCGCCUGUCCUUCACAGUAACUCGAUAGUCCAUUUAUCUCCGGCCCAUCAUGCAGACUGUUUUUUCAAGUGAAUGAAAUAUUUCCAUGGUUUCACAAGGUCUGGGUGGAAAGGGCUCUGGAAAACCCUGCAGGAGGGGGAAACGGUGGGCUAGAGAGGACUGUUUUCUCUUUGCCUGACUGCCAAGGUCAAUCCACACAUAUACAUAUGUUUCCUCCUUCAUGUACCUGCAAAGGCUGAAUUAGACGUGGACUGUACAGUUGAUCUGUACAUUUCCAGCCGACAUGCUCACAAUGUGCUAAAGAAUAGAGCGCCACAGGGAAAAAUGGAUGAGGUGAAAAUCAUUUCCAUCGCUCUGGGAGGAACAUGACAGAUCAAUCAAGGCAGGUUCUGGAUGAAUGAAGUCAGUGAGUUGGAAGUCCUUGCAAAAGACUUCUUUUUGCUUUACCAAGUCUUCAACCAGUUAUAAGAUUGAUUUUUGAAAUGACCCAAGUAUUUUUAAGAGUGUCUCUCUUGCUUCACUGAAAUCGCCUCUCAGCCUAUUUCCACCAUAAUUUCCCUUUUAAAUCUUGAAUUAUUUCUUGAUAUUUCCUUAUGAUUUUUUUUUUAAUUCAGUUGAUUGGGGUUAGAAACUUUCUUCUGAAGCUUGGUUUUAAAUAGGCAGAGAGAUUUAUCCUUUUAUUUUGGUUGGGUCUUGUUUUACGGUUUUCCCUGGCAGCAGAGCUUGCUGCUUGAAAAAAUUUAUCAAAAAAUCUUGCUUUUUAAAUGGACUUGGUUGCCAUUCGUGAACCAAAAGAAUAUGGCUGUGGGAUAUUUUAUCUUAUCUUCUGCUCCCCAGUCUCAAUUUCCCAGCUUCAGAGAGCAUGAAUUGCUCUCCGAAUUAGUUGCCCUAAAGGCAGUUUACAUUUACUUGUUCCUCCUCAAAAUGGAAGCUGGAUGGAUUGAAUGGUGAUCAGACCUCAUUAACUACCCCUGUUGUUACUCCCCUCAAAGUUGGUGUGUGCGUGUGUGUUUUUCCAGUUUGUAAAGUUUCUCUUUUACAUUUGGUUUGAUAUUUUUCCUAAUUUAUAUUUGGUUGCUUUUUCUCCUAAUUCACAAAUGUUCUUGUUUACAUCUGGUUUGCUUAAAUCUGAUUAUCCCUGUGGUCAUUACCUUGAGGUUUGGAUGUUUGGGUUUGGUAUUAAUUUGAAAUUUUAAUAAUAGUAGCUCGCAUUUUUGGAUGCUCACACUUGUGUCAUUUACAUCUCAUUAGUUCAAACAUUAUUUUGUUUAAUCCUCAUAAUAUCCUACUCAAAUAGAUGAUAUUACUAUUCCCAUUUUAGAGAUUAGAAAGCUGAGGAAAGAAAGGAUAUGUACAGUAGGAAGGGCUUAAUCGUUUACAAUUGUGUCCCAGGUAAAAACUUUUUCUUUGCUCUGUGUGUGCUUUUGGCUCUGACUUUAGUUAAGGGUUAAGAGAUGCAUUCAGGUUGUUUUAAUUCAGUAAUUACCAAGCCUGAACAAGAUUAGAAUCACCUGGAGGGCUUGUUAAACCACCAAUUGCCAGGCUCCACCCACAUACUUUCUAUUUAAGGAGAUCUGGAAGGGGCUUCAGGACUGGCGUUUUCCACGAGUUCCCAGCUGAUGUGGGUACCGCUGGUCUGGGUUGGCUCUUUGAGAACCACUGCUUUUGUUCACUUCCCUUCAGGUAAAGGUUUUGUUUGACAAGAACUCUCAGAGAAGAUCCUUUAUCUAAGAAGAGUCAUGAACAUGGUGUCUUACCAAAAGCCACAUGUAUUCAAAGACAAGGAAUGACCAAGCCCAUGCCAGCCUUCUUUCCUGAGGCAAGACACAUAAAAUUACAAAAAGGUAUUUAGACAAGAAGGAUGCAGCUGUUCUAAUCCAGUCAUCUGGUCACCCAAGCCAAGAGGGGUGCAGGUGAGUCAAAGCAAAGUCAUCAUUGAAAACAGCCCAAUAAAUACUUCCUGAGACAGGUAAAGUUGAUUAUAUUAAGAGGUAAAGCCCCUUCUUCAGUAGAUCACAUUCUUCUUUCUUGUACUUUACAGUUGUGAACUAUAAAAUAUUUGCCGGUAAUUUUUGCUGUGGAUAUCCCUGUCUGGACUCAGUCAGGAAAUUUCCUUGUAUAUUGUCUUCCUUUUGGAGUUCAUG